GAUGAACGCUGGCUACAGGCUUAACACAUGCAAGUCGAGGGGAAACGCCGGGGAAGCUUGCUUCCCCGGGCGUCGACCGGCGCACGGGUGAGUAACGCGUAUCCAACCUGCCUCUGACUGAGGGAUAACCCGUCGAAAGUCGGCCUAAUACCUCAUGGCAUCGUCUGCGGGCAUCCAACGACGAUUAAAGAUUUCAUCGGUCAGGGAUGGGGAUGCGUCUGAUUAGCUUGUUGGCGGGGUAACGGCCCACCAAGGCUACGAUCAGUAGGGGUUCUGAGAGGAAGGUCCCCCACAAUGGAACUGAGACACGGUCCAAACUCCUACGGGAGGCAGCAGUGAGGAAUAUUGGUCAAUGGGCGGGAGCCUGAACCAGUCAAGUAGCGUGCAGGAUGACGGCCCUAUGGGUUGUAAACUGCUUUUAGGCGGGGAUAAAGUGAGGGACGUGUCCUUCAUUGCAGGUACCGCAUGAAUAAGGACCGGCUAAUUCCGUG
This 491-nucleotide ribosomal RNA is filed under the name uncultured bacterium. RNAcentral describes it as "partial 16S ribosomal RNA". It matches the Rfam family "Bacterial small subunit ribosomal RNA", at positions 28 to 507 of the family's 1533-position model. The record is from RNAcentral.